UACGAAGGGGGCUAGCGUUGUUCGGAAUUACUGGGCGUAAAGCGCACGUAGGCGGACUACUAAGUCAGGGGUGAAAUCCCGGGGCUCAACCCCGGAACUGCCUUCGAUACUGAUAGUCUCGAGUCCGGAAGAGGUGAGUGGAAUUCCGAGUGUAGAGGUGAAAUUCGUAGAUAUUCGGAGGAACACCAGUGGCGAAGGCGGCUCACUGGUCCGGUACUGACGCUGAGGUGCGAAAGCGUGGGGAGCAAACAGG
RNAcentral lists this ribosomal RNA (253 nucleotides) under uncultured bacterium. RNAcentral describes it as "partial 16S ribosomal RNA". It matches the Rfam family "Bacterial small subunit ribosomal RNA", at positions 524 to 776 of the family's 1533-position model. The record is from RNAcentral.